Molecule: long non-coding RNA, 215 nt
Organism: Lampris incognitus (smalleye Pacific opah)
Lineage: Eukaryota; Metazoa; Chordata; Actinopteri; Lampriformes; Lampridae
Exons: 3
Source: RefSeq, a predicted model, not a curated record
CGAGGACCCCCUCAUUUUCCUUUAAUGCCUACCAUUACCCUUCGCUCACACUUUAUCACGUCAGCAAGGAUGAAGCCUUUCCACUGAAGUUCAAGUUGAUGUGACCAUAUCCAGGGACCAAUCUCACUGCUGAACUGCGGGUCUACAACUACUACCGUUCCAGAGCAAGGCGGGUGGUUGAAAAUGCCUUUGGCAUUUUGGCUGCAAGGUGCAGA